Molecule: ribosomal RNA, 402 nt
Filed under: bacterium
Lineage: Bacteria
Description: partial 16S ribosomal RNA
Rfam family: Bacterial small subunit ribosomal RNA
Source: RNAcentral
UGGGGAAUUUUGCACAAUGGGGGAAACCCUGAUGCAGCGACGCCGCGUGAUUUAGAAGGCCUUCGGGUUGUAAAAAUCUUUUCGAUGGGAAGAAAAUGACAGUACCAUAGGAAUAAGGACCGGCUAAUUACGUGCCAGCAGCCGCGGUAAUACGUAAGGUCCGAGCGUUGUCCGGAAUCAUUGGGCGUAAAGGGUACGUAGGCGGGUAAGCAAGUUAGAAGUUAAAUCCUAUAGCUCAACUAUAGUAAGCUUUUAAAACUGCUCAUCUUGAGGUAUGGAAGGGAAAGUGGAAUUCCUAGUGUAGCGGUGAAAUGCGCAGAUAUUAGGAGGAAUACCGGUGGCGAAGGCGACUUUCUGGCCAUAACCUGACGCUGAGGUACGAAAGCGUGGGUAGCAAACAGG